RNAcentral lists this ribosomal RNA (2809 nucleotides) under Staphylococcus aureus M1366. RNAcentral's name for it is "bacterial LSU rRNA". It matches the Rfam family "Bacterial large subunit ribosomal RNA". The record is from RNAcentral. Lineage: Bacteria; Bacillati; Bacillota; Bacilli; Caryophanales; Staphylococcaceae. RNAcentral also lists the same sequence under 1 other name.
CGAAUGGGGAAACCCAGCAUGAGUUAUGUCAUGUUAUCGAUAUGUGAAUACAUAGCAUAUCAGAAGGCACACCCGGAGAACUGAAACAUCUUAGUACCCGGAGGAAGAGAAAGAAAAUUCGAUUCCCUUAGUAGCGGCGAGCGAAACGGGAAGAGCCCAAACCAACAAGCUUGCUUGUUGGGGUUGUAGGACACUCUGUACGGAGUUACAAAGGACGACAUUAGACGAAUCAUCUGGAAAGAUGAAUCAAAGAAGGUAAUAAUCCUGUAGUCGAAAAUGUUGUCUCUCUUGAGUGGAUCCUGAGUACGACGGAGCACGUGAAAUUCCGUCGGAAUCUGGGAGGACCAUCUCCUAAGGCUAAAUACUCUCUAGUGACCGAUAGUGAACCAGUACCGUGAGGGAAAGGUGAAAAGCACCCCGGAAGGGGAGUGAAAUAGAACCUGAAACCGUGUGCUUACAAGUAGUCAGAGCCCGUUAAUGGGUGAUGGCGUGCCUUUUGUAGAAUGAACCGGCGAGUUACGAUUUGAUGCAAGGUUAAGCAGUAAAUGUGGAGCCGUAGCGAAAGCGAGUCUGAAUAGGGCGUUUAGUAUUUGGUCGUAGACCCGAAACCAGGUGAUCUACCCUUGGUCAGGUUGAAGUUCAGGUAACACUGAAUGGAGGACCGAACCGACUUACGUUGAAAAGUGAGCGGAUGAACUGAGGGUAGCGGAGAAAUUCCAAUCGAACCUGGAGAUAGCUGGUUCUCUCCGAAAUAGCUUUAGGGCUAGCCUCAAGUGAUGAUUAUUGGAGGUAGAGCACUGUUUGGACGAGGGGCCCCUCUCGGGUUACCGAAUUCAGACAAACUCCGAAUGCCAAUUAAUUUAACUUGGGAGUCAGAACAUGGGUGAUAAGGUCCGUGUUCGAAAGGGAAACAGCCCAGACCACCAGCUAAGGUCCCAAAAUAUAUGUUAAGUGGAAAAGGAUGUGGCGUUGCCCAGACAACUAGGAUGUUGGCUUAGAAGCAGCCAUCAUUUAAAGAGUGCGUAAUAGCUCACUAGUCGAGUGACACUGCGCCGAAAAUGUACCGGGGCUAAACAUAUUACCGAAGCUGUGGAUUGUCCUUUGGACAAUGGUAGGAGAGCGUUCUAAGGGCGUUGAAGCAUGAUCGUAAGGACAUGUGGAGCGCUUAGAAGUGAGAAUGCCGGUGUGAGUAGCGAAAGACGGGUGAGAAUCCCGUCCACCGAUUGACUAAGGUUUCCAGAGGAAGGCUCGUCCGCUCUGGGUUAGUCGGGUCCUAAGCUGAGGCCGACAGGCGUAGGCGAUGGAUAACAGGUUGAUAUUCCUGUACCACCUAUAAUCGUUUUAAUCGAUGGGGGGACGCAGUAGGAUAGGCGAAGCGUGCGAUUGGAUUGCACGUCUAAGCAGUAAGGCUGAGUAUUAGGCAAAUCCGGUACUCGUUAAGGCUGAGCUGUGAUGGGGAGAAGACAUUGUGUCUUCGAGUCGUUGAUUUCACACUGCCGAGAAAAGCCUCUAGAUAGAAAAUAGGUGCCCGUACCGCAAACCGACACAGGUAGUCAAGAUGAGAAUUCUAAGGUGAGCGAGCGAACUCUCGUUAAGGAACUCGGCAAAAUGACCCCGUAACUUCGGGAGAAGGGGUGCUCUUUAGGGUUAACGCCCAGAAGAGCCGCAGUGAAUAGGCCCAAGCGACUGUUUAUCAAAAACACAGGUCUCUGCUAAACCGUAAGGUGAUGUAUAGGGGCUGACGCCUGCCCGGUGCUGGAAGGUUAAGAGGAGUGGUUAGCUUCUGCGAAGCUACGAAUCGAAGCCCCAGUAAACGGCGGCCGUAACUAUAACGGUCCUAAGGUAGCGAAAUUCCUUGUCGGGUAAGUUCCGACCCGCACGAAAGGCGUAACGAUUUGGGCACUGUCUCAACGAGAGACUCGGUGAAAUCAUAGUACCUGUGAAGAUGCAGGUUACCCGCGACAGGACGGAAAGACCCCGUGGAGCUUUACUGUAGCCUGAUAUUGAAAUUCGGCACAGCUUGUACAGGAUAGGUAGGAGCCUUUGAAACGUGAGCGCUAGCUUACGUGGAGGCGCUGGUGGGAUACUACCCUAGCUGUGUUGGCUUUCUAACCCGCACCACUUAUCGUGGUGGGAGACAGUGUCAGGCGGGCAGUUUGACUGGGGCGGUCGCCUCCUAAAAGGUAACGGAGGCGCUCAAAGGUUCCCUCAGAAUGGUUGGAAAUCAUUCAUAGAGUGUAAAGGCAUAAGGGAGCUUGACUGCGAGACCUACAAGUCGAGCAGGGUCGAAAGACGGACUUAGUGAUCCGGUGGUUCCGCAUGGAAGGGCCAUCGCUCAACGGAUAAAAGCUACCCCGGGGAUAACAGGCUUAUCUCCCCCAAGAGUUCACAUCGACGGGGAGGUUUGGCACCUCGAUGUCGGCUCAUCGCAUCCUGGGGCUGUAGUCGGUCCCAAGGGUUGGGCUGUUCGCCCAUUAAAGCGGUACGCGAGCUGGGUUCAGAACGUCGUGAGACAGUUCGGUCCCUAUCCGUCGUGGGCGUAGGAAAUUUGAGAGGAGCUGUCCUUAGUACGAGAGGACCGGGAUGGACAUACCUCUGGUGUACCAGUUGUCGUGCCAACGGCAUAGCUGGGUAGCUAUGUGUGGACGGGAUAAGUGCUGAAAGCAUCUAAGCAUGAAGCCCCCCUCAAGAUGAGAUUUCCCAACUUCGGUUAUAAGAUCCCUCAAAGAUGAUGAGGUUAAUAGGUUCGAGGUGGAAGCAUGGUGACAUGUGGAGCUGACGAAUACUAAUCGAUCGAAGACUUAAUCAA